GGAGAAAAGCAGGGGAUCGCAAGACCUUGCGCUUUUGGAGCGGCCGAUGCCUGAUUAGCUUGUUGGUGAGGUAAAAGCUCACCAAGGCUCCGAUCAGUAGCUGGUCUGAGAGGACGACCAGCCACACUGGGACUGAGACACGGCCCAGACUCCUACGGGAGGCAGCAGUGGGGAAUUUUGGACAAUGGGGGCAACCCUGAUCCAGCCAUGCCGCGUGAGUGAAGAAGGCCUUCGGGUUGUAAAGCUCUUUCAGCCGGAACGAAACGGUCACGGUUAAUACCCGUGACUACUGACGGUACCGGAAGAAGAAGCACCGGCUAACUACGUGCCAGCAGCCGCGGUAAUACGUAGGGUGCGAGCGUUAAUCGGAAUUACUGGGCGUAAAGCGUGCGCAGGCGGUUUUGUAAGUCAGAUGUGAAAUCCCCGGGCUUAACCUGGGAACUGCGUUUGAAACUACAAGGCUAG
Molecule: ribosomal RNA, 465 nt
Filed under: uncultured bacterium
Lineage: Bacteria
Description: bacterial SSU rRNA
Rfam family: Bacterial small subunit ribosomal RNA
Source: RNAcentral